RNAcentral lists this small RNA (696 nucleotides) under Pan troglodytes (chimpanzee). RNAcentral's name for it is "processed transcript". The record is from RNAcentral. Lineage: Eukaryota; Metazoa; Chordata; Mammalia; Primates; Hominidae.
GCUGGCGGGGCGCAGGCCGCGGGACCCGAGCCCGGGGGAGCGAGAGAGCGGAGGCGCCGAGGAUCCGAUUCAUUCGCUGGGGAGACCUAUGGGCCGAAGCCGUGUAGAUGCGUUUUAAGCAGGGGCCUCGGCUCCGCAACUGCCACUCCUCCUCGGGGUGUUGCACAAGUUUCGAGGUCACCGGCGACCCCCCCUAGCAGCGCUCCUGGCUCUGGCCCCCGCGAAGGAGGACGGAGUUUGGAUGGUUCUGUGCAUUGCUACUGAUGACUCCCACUCCCUGAGCUGCCUGAGCCUAAAGUUUGGAGUGUCACUGAAAUCCUGCAGACACCUGCUUGAAAAUGCGAAGAAGAACCAUGCGGAGGUGGUGGGUGUGAGUUUUCACAUUGGCAGUGGCUGUCCUGACCCUCAGGCCUAUGCUCAGUCCAUCGCAGAUGCCCGGCUCGUGUUUGAAAUGGGCACCGAGCUGGGUCACAAGAUGCACGUUCUGGACCUUGGUGGUGGCUUCCCUGGCACAGAAGGGGCCAAAGUGAGAUUUGAAGAGAUUGCUUCCGUGAUCAACUCAGCCUUGGACCUGUACUUCCCAGAGGGCUGUGGCGUGGACAUCUUUGCUGAGCUGGGGCGCUACUACGUGACCUCGGCCUUCACUGUGGCAGUCAGCAUCAUUGCCAAGAAGGAGGUUCUGCUAGACCAGCCUGG